Molecule: ribosomal RNA, 446 nt
Filed under: uncultured bacterium
Lineage: Bacteria
Description: partial 16S ribosomal RNA
Rfam family: Bacterial small subunit ribosomal RNA
Source: RNAcentral
CCUACGGGUGGCAGCAGUCGAGAAUCAUUCACAAUGGGGGAAACCCUGAUGGUGCGACGCCGCGUGGGGGAAUGAAGGUCUUCGGAUUGUAAACCCCUGUCAUGCGGGAGCAAAUUAAAAAGAUCGUACCACAAGAGGCAGAGACGGCUAACUCUGUGCCAGCAGCCGCGGUAAUACAGAGGUCUCAAGCGUUGUUCGGAAUCACUGGGCGUAAAGCGUGCGUAGGCUGUGUCGUAAGUCGUGUGUGAAAGGCGCGGGCUCAACCCGCGGACGGCACAUGAUACUGCGAGACUAGAGUAAUGGAGGGGGAACCGGAAUUCUCGGUGUAGCAGUGAAAUGCGUAGAUAUCGAGAGGAACACUCGUGGCGAAGGCGGGUUACUGGACAUUAACUGACGCUGAGGCACGAAGGCCAGGGGAGCGAAAGGGAUUAGAUACCCUAGUAGUC